UCAUUAUUAAUUAUUAAUCUGAAUAAUAUAUAUAAAUCAAAUUGUUUUACAAGACAAAUAAAUUCUUGCUACUAUUUGACAUAAAUUCUUACAACACAAAUAAAUUCUUGUUGAAGAUGUCUUCUUAGAUGACUUCACGAGAAACAUGAUCACUCUCUCUCUCUCCAAAGGCUGACAACAUAUUCUUGUAGAAUAUGGAAAGCAGACAAACGGUAUUAAGAGCAUCACAGACCAGAACCCAAUUUUUGGGAGUCUAGCUCAGUCACAAGUGAGAUAUUGGAUUUGGACAUCUUUUUCCUUUUCACAUUUGUUCAACGUUUGAAUCUCCUCUCGUAACAAAGAGUCUUGGCGUGGGCUUCUCGAGGUGUAAGAAGAGGGCGAGCAUCCGUCAUCUAGUAAUUUACCAAACCCGAAGCGAUGGCCUUUAACUUUGGAGACUUUCUUAAAAAAAAUAAAAACCAACAUGUCACUAUAAAGAGAAAAAUUAAGAGAAAAUCAUAAUCCAAAUUUCUAUGUUCAAUUACGACAGAUACACAUACACAUAAUUUCACCAACGUGUUUUGGGCAUUUACAUGUAUAUUAUACUCAAACUUGGAGAGUCCUAUAAAGUAUGUGUUGGUUUAAAAGUAUACUCUUAAAAUCACAACGAAAGCUUAUUAAGUUAUUAUUAUAAGUAUAUUAUAAAGAUGACAACAAAGCAUAGUAAAAAUUUACUCAUAGACUUUAGAAACAAACAUGAGAGUGAACAUUUACGUAAAUGUUACUUACUUAAAGCAUUAUGGCGUCAAUCUCUGAUUGUGUCAUAGUGUUUGACUGCAAAUCCUCAUCUCCUUCUGUUUGCCGCUGCGAAGCAGUAAGCUCCAUGUAAACUCUCAACUCCUAACGAGACUUGGCUGAGUGAAAACUGAAAAUCAAAAACCAACUUUAAACUCAAGAAUCUAAAACCCCAAUUGGAUGAUACUCGAGAAAGUUAGUUACUGAGAUUAUGCAGAAAAUUAGUACCUGAAAUUCAAGCUAAUAUUUUUUGGCCAACCCUUGACAUCCUUAGCUAGUUGGCUGUCCCACCCCUCUUUGCUCCUAUCUCUUGAGCUUCGCUUCUCUAUAUAUGAAACAACACAAAAAUCUUCUAUCAAGAGUCAAGGAGAUAGAUAAAUCGUUAAUUUAAGCUUUUUCUGAACCAUAAUCCAUCCUAAUUGCAUAAGGACUAUCCAAUCAAUACAGAUCCCAGAUCAAAACAUAUCAAUUAAGCAAAUUGGAUUCAAUUUACACACCAAUUACAGAGGAUUUGAAAACCUUUUUGGAAAAAUUGCAAGAAACACAAUUAUCUGAAGGUAAUGUCACUUCCUUUUUGGAGUUUCUUUGAAACCUAGAAGGAAAUUACCACCAGCACUUCUAAUUUCUUCAUCUCCGUUUCUGUAGAAAUCGAUAAAUCAAACGAUUCAGAUCAACAAGCGAGAUCGAUAAUCAAUUUAAAUGAAAGAAAUUGAAGUCUGAACUGUUCUCUUGUGCUCUAGCGUGAAGAGAGGAUGAAAUUAAAAGGCACCGUAAAU
Molecule: long non-coding RNA, 1550 nt
Filed under: Arabidopsis lyrata
Lineage: Eukaryota; Viridiplantae; Streptophyta; Magnoliopsida; Brassicales; Brassicaceae
Description: long non-coding RNA (ALYR_LNC003384)
Source: RNAcentral